GACGAACGCUGGCGGCGUGCUUAACACAUGCAAGUCGAGCGGUAAGGCCCUUCGGGUACACGAGCGGCGAACGGGUGAGUAACACGUGGGUGACCUGCCCUUAGCUCUGGGAUAAGCCUGGGAAACUGGGUCUAAUACCGGAUAUGACCUCAUGACGCAUGUUGUGGGGUGGAAAGCCUUGUGCGGCUAGGGAUGGGCCCGCGGCCUAUCAGCUUGUUGGUGGGGUGAUGGCCACCAAGGCGACGACGGGUAGCCGGCCUGAGAGGGCGACCGGCCACACUGGGACUGAGACACGGCCCAGACUCCUACGGGAGGGCAGCAGUGGGGAAUCUUGCGCAAUGGGCGAAAGCCUGACGCAGCGACGCCGCGUGAGGGAUGACGGCCUGG
This 387-nucleotide ribosomal RNA is filed under the name uncultured bacterium. RNAcentral's name for it is "bacterial SSU rRNA". It matches the Rfam family "Bacterial small subunit ribosomal RNA", at positions 28 to 419 of the family's 1533-position model. The record is from RNAcentral.